AGCUUAUGACUUUAUAGCCCCGCGGAUCCUUUGUCUUAGUGGAUUGUCGAGAUUCUACGGGGCCUUUUGUUGUCCAAUUUACGGGUCUUAGAAUUUUAGUGCAUGGCAAUAUGGGUCUACGUCUCUGUUGAUUGAGUCGAGCAGGAUCGUGAAGACUGUAGGCAGUUUAUGGAGAAGAAAGUUUGGUACCACGUGUUUUCAAAACGUAGCUGCGUUCAUUAUGGAAUAUCGAAGUAAUAGUUGCACCAAAAUACUCCUUUACCAUUUUAUAAUUGGACUUUUAUCAAGAAUAUAAUUAUUAAAACAAACACGAUGCAGCAUUAUAAAUGCUGCAAUAUCUUCUUUCUUGAAUGGGAGGAAAGAAAGAAAAUUGAUAAAAAAAGAUCGCAGAAUGACGAAGGGAUGAAGGUUAAAAAAAAAAAAAAAAAGAAAAAAACGAAAAUAAAACAUGUAAAUGUACAACAUAAUAGUCUCCAUUUUAAUAUAAUGAAUUCAUAAUAGUAAUAGACAAUAAUAAUAAUAAUAAUAAUAAUAAUAUAUGAUGGUGCCAAUAAUAAUAAUAAUAAUAAUAAUAAUAAAAUUAAUAUAAUAAUAAUAAUAAUAAUAAUAAUAAUAGAUAUAUUCUGUCUAUAUUCACAUUCAGAACUAUGUACAGUUUAAUUAAUUUACAAUUGAAUUCGUACGAACAACCAAAUAGAACCUAUUAAUCGUGUGUAGUAUGUAUAUAUAUAUUUAUAUAUUUAUAUUUAUAUAUAUACCUAAUACCUGUAUUAUAUAUAUUCACAACAGAUAGGUCUCUUUCCCUUUUUUUUUCUUUUUUUUUUUUUUUUCUUUUUUUGCGUCGAGGGUACGAUCGUGUACAUACAAGAAGCGCACAAAAUUGUCCUUCGCUUUUUCUUCGACCUUACGAUUCUUUUAUUUUUUUUUUUUUUCGUUUUUUUUAAUUUUUUUUUUUUUCAAUUUUUAUUUUCUCGCAUGGAUUCAUAAAACGAUACACUCGACCCUCGAUGAUGGUAUCUCCCCUGGCUACGCUGAUUAUUAUUUACAAAAAUCAUGAUCGAGUCUCUAUUAUUUAAUUAGUCUAUAUACGAUAUACAUACGUGUCAACGAAUGCACGAGCACCGACCAUCUUCGUCGUGGUAUAUCGGUACCAGUAGUAUUUCCUCCGGUUAUAUAUAUAUAUAUUUUCGUCCAUGUGUAUAUUCUCCAUUCUUCCUCUCUUUCUCGCAUUCUCUCAACCGUUUCUCUCGUUUGCAACUCUUCUCUUUCCAUUUCUACUUAACCUUGCCCAUUAUCACAGAUAUAAAUAAAUGUACUCUUUACAAAACAAUGUACAAUUUCUUCUAUCGCGCUCCUUUCUCGUAUCUCCUCCAAUUUUUCCUCCUCUCUCUCUCUCUCUUUCUCUCGAAGCAAACGACGCAAAUCACGCACCACACUCACUUACACAUUGUGUCAAAGUACAAAAUGAUUUCUACAAUUAGUUUUCUUUCUUUCUUUCUUCUCUCCCCUUCCUGCCUUCGCCUUUCCUUCGUGUCCAUUCCGCUCGUUCGAAAGAAAUCGAGAAACAACUCUACCAUCAAUAAUAUCGAAAGGAGGGAUGAUUUAUACGAUAUACACGUACGAUAUAAAAAAAUAUUAACAAUCUCGAGCACCGUGCACCGUUUCGUUUCUCUGAAACCACGGGUCAAAGGUUGCCCUUUGAAAAUUCCUAUCGCCAAAAACCACGAAAUUUAAUCGAAUCAAAGGGAUCCAAAGAGAUUAAAAUUGUUACACAUACGAACACACGUAUUCGCUCACUCGCACACACACACACACACACACAUACACGUAUUAUAUAUCGAAAUGUUCCAUUUCCACGAGAAACGCGAACAAUCAACGAGCGCACGAUCUAAAAAAAAAUAUAUAUAUAAAAGGAAAAAGAAAUAUAUUGCACAGAGUCGGGUCGAAAGUAAUGAAAUACGAUGCUAAUUAAAACGGAACACGUUGCUAUCGUCGAAGUCUCGUGGCGCGCGUGUCGCAGGAGAGUCCAUAUUGGGAGUGUGCACGAUGCCCGCCGCGGGAAAAGGACGAAUUUUUUUUUUUUUUACACUUAAUUAGUUCAUUAACCAUUCUCUUCACCAUACGACGAUCAUCCAUGGUGGGCAACAUCCAUGAGUGACGAACUUCGGUCGCUCGAGAGAUAUGAAACUCGAGCGGUAUUCGGGAGAAAAAGAUCACGGAGUUUCGAAUAGUCUAUACGGCACAGCGGGAAAAUUGUUCGUCACUCCGCUUCCGCCUAUGCGUUGCAAUAAUUUUGAAUCGGCUUCUCUCACACCGUGGACUCGACUUUGACAAAUUUUCCAAAGAUCCGCCAAGUCAUUUCUUUUUUUUUCCAAACAGCGUGUACACGAGAAUAAUUCAUCGGGAGUUUAAUUAAAGAGUUACUCCGGUAGGUUAAGGAUAGAGUAGCGCCUGUGCGAUCCGCCUUCUCCUCCUUCUUCCCCUUCUCCGCCUCCUCGACGACGCUGCGGCCAAUCCUCGGACAGGACAAAAGGACACGCGAGUUGGUCGAAGGAUAUCGGGAAGUUUGUACAAGAGUCGCUCGUAUUUCACAACACCGUAUAUAUUCGUUACGACUCCAGUGACUUUUAAAAAUAAACACUUUUUUCAGCAGUGUAUCGAUAACUUUGAUAUCGCGCGUAUCUGUGAUGCCAAAGAGGGCGCUACCGGCAAUGCGCACGUCAUAUAAACGCGUUUCCGUUCGCUUUUUUCCUUUUUGGCGAGAAACAAAAUUUUUAAACGACACAAAACGUAACGCGAAAAGUUUUCGUUUUAUCUUCGCGAAAUAAAGAAAGAAAGGAAUUUACGUUGGUG
Apis cerana (Asiatic honeybee) is the source of this 2853-nucleotide long non-coding RNA. RefSeq lists it as uncharacterized. The record is from RefSeq and is a predicted model, not a curated record. Lineage: Eukaryota; Metazoa; Arthropoda; Insecta; Hymenoptera; Apidae.